Molecule: ribosomal RNA, 247 nt
Filed under: uncultured bacterium
Lineage: Bacteria
Description: partial 16S ribosomal RNA
Rfam family: Bacterial small subunit ribosomal RNA
Source: RNAcentral
CUGACGAGUGGCGAACGGGUGAGUAACACGUAGGAAUCUACCCAGAAGUGGGGGACAACCCGGAGAAAUCCGGGCUAAUACCGCAUACGCCCUAAGGGGUAAAGCGGGGGACCUUUUCGAAGGCCUCGCGCUUUUGGAUGAGCCUGCGUCGGAUUAGCUUGUUGGUGAGGUAAUGGCUCACCAAGGCAACGAUCCGUAGCUGGGCUGAGAGGAUGACCAGCCACACUGGGACUGAGACACGGCCCAG